This 519-nucleotide ribosomal RNA is filed under the name uncultured bacterium. RNAcentral describes it as "bacterial SSU rRNA". It matches the Rfam family "Bacterial small subunit ribosomal RNA", at positions 988 to 1509 of the family's 1533-position model. The record is from RNAcentral.
CCAGAGAAUUUAGCAGAGAUGCUUUAGUGCCUUCGGGAACUCUGAGACAGGUGCUGCAUGGCUGUCGUCAGCUCGUGUUGUGAAAUGUUGGUUAAGUCCCGCAACGAGCGCAACCCUAUCCUUUGUUGCCAGCGAUUCGGUCGGGAACUCAAAGGAGACUGCCGGUGAUAAACCGGAGGAAGGUGGGGAUGACGUCAAGUCAUCAUGGCCCUUACGAGUAGGGCUACACACGUGCUACAAUGGCGCAUACAAAGAGAAGCGACCUCGCGAGAGCAAGCGGACCUCAUAAAGUGCGUCGUAGUCCGAAUUGGAGUCUGCAACUCGACUCCAUGAAGUCGGAAUCGCUAGUAAUCGUAGAUCAGAAUGCUACGGUGAAUACGUUCCCGGGCCUUGUACACACCGCCCGUCACACCAUGGGAGUGGGUUGCAAAAGAAGUAGAUAGCUUAACCUUCGGGAGGGCGUUUACCACUUUGUGAUUCAUGACUGGGGUGAAGUCGUAACAAGGUAAGCGUAGCGAG